ACUGGAUGAUGAUAUUUCCACUUCAUUGGUCCGUGUUUCUGAAACACAUGAUUUUAGUGGAAGUUCUGACAGU
Small nucleolar RNA from Protopterus annectens (West African lungfish), 73 nucleotides. RefSeq annotates it as small nucleolar RNA SNORD18. The transcript has a single exon. The record is from RefSeq and is a predicted model, not a curated record. NCBI's taxonomy places the organism in Eukaryota, Metazoa, Chordata, Ceratodontiformes, Protopteridae.